RNAcentral lists this non-coding RNA (29 nucleotides) under Rattus norvegicus (Norway rat). The record is from RNAcentral. Lineage: Eukaryota; Metazoa; Chordata; Mammalia; Rodentia; Muridae.
UCCCUGGUAGUUCAUUCAGCAUAAACUGA